CCUACGGGUGUCAGCAGUGAGGAAUAUUUGUCAAUGGCCGGGAGGCUGAACCAGCCAAGUCGCGUGAGGGAAGACGGCCCUACGGGUUGUAAACCUCUUUUGUCGGGGAGCAAAGCGAACCACGUGUGGUUCAUUGAGAGUACGCGAAGAAAAAGCAUCGGCUAACUCCGUACCAGCAGCCGCGGUAAUACGGAGGAUGCGAGCGUUAUCCGGAUUUAUUGGGUUUAAAGGGUGCGCAGGCGGAGGUGCAAGUCAGCGGUCAAAUUGCGGGGCUCAACCCCGUACUGCCGUUGAAACUGCAUCCCUUGAGUGCGCGAGAAGUAUGCGGAAUUCGUGGUGUAGCGGUGAAAUGCUUAGAUAUCACGAAGAACUCCGAUUGCGAAGGCAGCUUACUAAACUGCCACUGACAUUGAUGCUCGAAAGUGUGGGUAUCAAACAGGAUUAGAUACCCCUGUAGUC
RNAcentral lists this ribosomal RNA (459 nucleotides) under uncultured bacterium. RNAcentral describes it as "partial 16S ribosomal RNA". It matches the Rfam family "Bacterial small subunit ribosomal RNA", at positions 338 to 795 of the family's 1533-position model. The record is from RNAcentral.